CCUACGGGUGGCAGCAGUGGGGAAUAUUGGGCAAUGGGCGCAAGCCUGACCCAGCAACGCCGCGUGAAGGAAGAAGGCUUUCGGGUUGUAAACUUCUUUUGUCAGGGACGAAGCAAGUGACGGUACCUGACGAAUAAGCCACGGCUAACUACGGGCCAGCAGCCGCGGCAAUACGUAGGUGGCAAGCGUUAUCCGGAUUUAAUGGGUGUAAAGGGCGUGUAGGCGGGGAAGGAAGUCAGAUGUGAAAACCACGGGCUCAACCUGUGGCCUGCAUUUGAAACUGUUUUUCUUGAGUGCAGGAGAGGCAAUCGGAAUUCCGGGUGUAGCGGUGAAAUGCGUAGAGAUACGGAGGAACACCGGUUGCGAAGGCAGAUUGCUGGACAGUAACUGACGCUGAGGCGCGAAAGCGUGGGGAGCAAACAGGAUUAGAUACCCUGGUAGUC
Molecule: ribosomal RNA, 443 nt
Filed under: uncultured bacterium
Lineage: Bacteria
Description: partial 16S ribosomal RNA
Rfam family: Bacterial small subunit ribosomal RNA
Source: RNAcentral